RNAcentral lists this unclassified non-coding RNA (253 nucleotides) under uncultured Pseudobdellovibrionaceae bacterium. RNAcentral describes it as "uncultured Bdellovibrionaceae bacterium contains 16S-23S intergenic spacer region". It matches the Rfam family "Bacterial small subunit ribosomal RNA", at positions 524 to 776 of the family's 1533-position model. The record is from RNAcentral. Lineage: Bacteria; Pseudomonadati; Bdellovibrionota; Bdellovibrionia; Bdellovibrionales; Pseudobdellovibrionaceae.
UACGAGGGGUCCUAGCGCUGUUCGGAAUUAUUGGGCGUAAAGAGUAUGUAGGCGGCCUUGUAAGUCAGGUGUGAAAGCCCCGGGCUCAACCCGGGAAGUGCAUUUGAUACUGCUUGGCUUGAAUGUUGGAGAGGGUAGUGGAAUUCCAGGUGUAGUGGUGAAAUACGUAGAUAUCUGGAGGAACACCGGUGGCGAAGGCGGCUGCCUGGCCAAACAUUGACGCUGAGAUACGAAAGCGUGGGUAGCAAACAGG